RNAcentral lists this ribosomal RNA (434 nucleotides) under uncultured Verrucomicrobiaceae bacterium. RNAcentral's name for it is "bacterial SSU rRNA". It matches the Rfam family "Bacterial small subunit ribosomal RNA", at positions 355 to 794 of the family's 1533-position model. The record is from RNAcentral. Lineage: Bacteria; Pseudomonadati; Verrucomicrobiota; Verrucomicrobiia; Verrucomicrobiales; Verrucomicrobiaceae.
UGGGGAAUUUUCCGCAAUGGGGGCAACCCUGAUGGAGCGACGCCGCGUGGAGGAUGAAGGUUUUCGGAUUGUAAACUCCUGUCAUGAGAGAACAAAGCCCGCAAGGGUCUGAUAGUAUCUCAAGAGGAAGGGACGGCUAACUCUGUGCCAGCAGCCGCGGUAAUACAGAGGUCCCAAGCGUUGUUCGGAUUCACUGGGCGUAAAGGGUGCGUAGGUGGCGGGGAAAGUUGCGUGUUAAAUCUCAAGGCUUAACCUUGAAACCGCUCGCAAUACUACUCUGCUAGAGGACUGUAGAGGAGAAUGGAAUUCACGGUGUAGCAGUGAAAUGCGUAGAUAUCGUGAGGAAGACCAGUGGCGGAGGCGAUUCUCUGGGCAGUUCCUGACACUGAGGCACGAAGGCCAGGGGAGCAAAAGGGAUUAGAUACCCCUGUAGU